This 377-nucleotide ribosomal RNA is filed under the name uncultured bacterium. RNAcentral describes it as "bacterial SSU rRNA". It matches the Rfam family "Bacterial small subunit ribosomal RNA", at positions 30 to 405 of the family's 1533-position model. The record is from RNAcentral.
AUUGAACGCUGGCGGCAGGCCUAACACAUGCAAGUCGAGCGGUAGAGAGGUGCUUGCAUCUCUUGAGAGCGGCGGACGGGUGAGUAAUGCCUAGGAAUCCUGCCUAGUGGUGGGGGAUAACGUUCGGAAACGGACGCUAAUACCGCAUACGUCCUACGGGAGAAAGCGGGGGGAUCUUCGGACCUCGCGCCAUUAGAUGAGCCUAGGUCGGAUUAGCUAGUUGGUGAGGUAAUGGCUCACCAAGGCGACGAUCCGUAACUGGUCUGAGAGGAUGAUCAGUCACACUGGAACUGAGACACGGUCCAGACUCCUACGGGAGGCAGCAGUGGGGAAUAUUGGACAAUGGGCGAAAGUCUGAUCCAGCCAUGCCGCGUGUG